AUACCAUGAUGUGGACAUUUUCUUAGCAAGUCAUUUAAUCUCUCCCAAGCCUCAUGGAAGAACUCUCCUUCCCUUUGAGAAAAUUCACGAAUAGAAGAUCGCAU
This is a small nucleolar RNA of Cornus florida, 104 nucleotides long. The record is from RefSeq and is a predicted model, not a curated record. Lineage: Eukaryota; Viridiplantae; Streptophyta; Magnoliopsida; Cornales; Cornaceae.